Molecule: non-coding RNA, 865 nt
Organism: Pelobates cultripes (western spadefoot toad)
Lineage: Eukaryota; Metazoa; Chordata; Amphibia; Anura; Pelobatidae
Source: the annotation of a GenBank genome assembly
CUAAGAGUAUGGGCCGCUGGUACCUCUCCCCCCACCCCUAGCUUAAGUACGGUUAGUCCAGGAGUAACCCGACAGGCCGAGGGGCUCUGCAGGGCCAAGCAUCUGUGCCAAACCUGCCGCUUGGGUCUCAAGGUUCGGUGUAUCUCUUUAUAGGUCUCUUAACCUUUAUAUCUGUGUUAGACCUUGUUGAGUGUGCCGCCCCUUGGGCCGUAUACUUGCGGUUUUGAGGAUUUCAGCGCUGUGGAUUCAGGGAUUUUGGUCUCGUCGAUCAGGGACAGGCAGUGUCUGUCUAGUUCAUUGCUGGGCCAUGUGGGUUCCCGGGAGGGUGGGCAGGUAGUGCGUGGUCUUUUACAUGUUGGUGCCCGUAGGGCGCGUUGUCUGCUGUCUCGUUUUUCUGGGUCUCGGGGGUUGUUGCGUCUGGCGCUGUAUCUCUGGUGAAAAGGCGUAGAAGGCCAUUGGAUCCGGCCAAGUCAUUUGUAUCGGUGGGAGUUGUAGUUCUCUCGUUAGAUCCAUCAGGUCUCCCUCGUUCUUCACCGUGAAGGGGCCAUUACUUGUGGUGACUUGUAUUCGGGUGGGGAAAUUCCACCUGUAUCUGAUCUUGUUAGUCUGUAGUACUCGCGUGAGUGGGCGCAUGGCUCGUCGGUACGCCAAUGUUGCAGGGGAUAGGUCUGGGUACAGUUGGAUUUCAGUGCCAUUGUGGAUGAUUUGUCUUUUAUCCCUGGCACUUUUCAGAAUGUCUUCCUUCACCUGGAAGUGUGUUAGGCAGCAUAUUACGUCUCUAGGCGGGGAGUCAGGUGGGCCCCUGGGUCUGAGGGCUCUGUGCGCCCUAAUAAAUUCGAUGGGCGCUGUGUUCGGCCUUUGUAGG